UUUUUUUUGGCCGACGUCCCUGUAGCGUACCGAGCAAAAACGUUGGGCCCGGGAUCUCCGAUCUCGUUCCCGAUUUACCGCCUCUCCCAUAUUCCUUUCGGCUUUCCCCGCCGGCCGCCGGCCGCGAGCCGCAGCCGAGCACCACCCGCCACCGCAGCCUCCCGCGAGCCACAAGCUCCACCCGCCACGGUCUUCUCGAAGGAGAGGCCUUCUUCGACCAGGUCAAAUCGUUCCCCAAAGCCUACCGCUGAAGAAGUCAAUCGAGCAAACAUGAAUCCCUUGCUGCGUUCCGCUGUCCGCCGUGUGCUGCGGCCGGCUGCUCGGCGUGCUUGUGAAGCUCAGAGACGAUGCAGCGAGAGGGAGAGAGCCAUCGCGGAGGUUAAGCGGAUGACACGGGACCACCUGCGUGCGCGGGACUCUGCGGCAGCAAAGUACAGUCAUUUGCCGAUGUACAACGGCGUCAUGUGUGGUGUUCUAAUCGCUACAGUCAUCCAUUUGUUCAAGCCGCGAGAAAAGAGUUCCCAGGAGAUAUGGCUGGAGAACAAUGCUAAGUCCAGAGAAGGAUCUGGAGCAAAUUAACAUGGCAAUGGCUGGUGUCGUCUUCAGAGUACUCAGCUGCUACUUGGUAGAGAUGAAGCCGCUUCGCCAGUGGACAGGAUUGAUGAGUUCCCACAACCUCUCACUUGUAUGACAUCUGAGAAUCGAGAAAAGAUACAUAUUUUUCUUUGAA
Molecule: long non-coding RNA, 730 nt
Organism: Panicum virgatum (switchgrass)
Lineage: Eukaryota; Viridiplantae; Streptophyta; Magnoliopsida; Poales; Poaceae
Exons: 2
Source: RefSeq, a predicted model, not a curated record